UACGUAGGUGGCAAGCGUUAUCCGGAAUUAUUGGGCGUAAAGCGCGCGUAGGCGGUUUUUUAAGUCUGAUGUGAAAGCCCACGGCUCAACCGUGGAGGGUCAUUGGAAACUGGAAAACUUGAGUGCAGAAGAGGAAAGUGGAAUUCCAUGUGUAGCGGUGAAAUGCGCAGAGAUAUGGAGGAACACCAGUGGCGAAGGCGACUUUCUGGUCUGUAACUGACGCUGAUGUGCGAAAGCGUGGGGAUCAAACAG
RNAcentral lists this ribosomal RNA (252 nucleotides) under uncultured bacterium. RNAcentral's name for it is "partial 16S ribosomal RNA". It matches the Rfam family "Bacterial small subunit ribosomal RNA", at positions 524 to 775 of the family's 1533-position model. RNAcentral also lists the same sequence under 1 other name. The record is from RNAcentral.